UACAGAGGGGGCAAGCGUUGUUCGGAAUUACUGGGCGUAAAGGGCGCGUAGGCGGCCUGUUAAGUCGAACGUGAAAUCCCUGGGCUCAACCCAGGAACUGCGUCCGAUACUGGCAGGCUUGAAUUCGGGAGAGGGAUGUGGAAUUCCAGGUGUAGCGGUGAAAUGCGUAGAUAUCUGGAAGAACACCAGUGGCGAAGGCGGUCAGCUGGCCCGUAACUGACGCUCAGGCACGAAAGCGUGGGGAGCAAACAGG
This 253-nucleotide ribosomal RNA is filed under the name uncultured bacterium. Its description in RNAcentral is "partial 16S ribosomal RNA". It matches the Rfam family "Bacterial small subunit ribosomal RNA", at positions 524 to 776 of the family's 1533-position model. The record is from RNAcentral.